CAAACGCUGGCGGCGUGCUUAAGCUUAUGCAAGUCGAACGAUUAAAGCUUUCUUCGGAGAGUGUAUAAAGUGGCGAACGGGUGAGUAACACGUGGGUAACCUACCCUUUAGUGGGGAAUAACAUUUUGAAAGAGAUGCUAAUACCGCAUGAGUUUGCAGAUUCGCAUGUAACUGCAAAGAAAGAUUUAUCGCUAAAGGAUGGGCCCGCGGGCUAUUAGCUAGAUGGUGGGGUAACGGCCUACCAUGGCUACGAUGGCUAGCCGGCCUGAGAGGGCGUACGGCCACACUGGGACUGAGACAAGGCCCAGUCCCCUACGGGAGGCGCAGGCGGGAAUUGUUCAUAAUAGGCGGAAGCCAGAUGACGCGACGCCGCGUGAGGGAAGACUGCCUUCGGGUUGUAAACCUCUGUCGUCAGGGAAGAAUGUUUAGGUUAUUCCUAUUCUGACUGUACCUGACAAGAAAGCCACGGCUAACUAC
This 477-nucleotide ribosomal RNA is filed under the name uncultured bacterium. RNAcentral's name for it is "bacterial SSU rRNA". It matches the Rfam family "Bacterial small subunit ribosomal RNA", at positions 30 to 504 of the family's 1533-position model. The record is from RNAcentral.